This 494-nucleotide ribosomal RNA is filed under the name uncultured bacterium. RNAcentral describes it as "partial 16S ribosomal RNA". It matches the Rfam family "Bacterial small subunit ribosomal RNA", at positions 29 to 507 of the family's 1533-position model. The record is from RNAcentral.
ACGAACGCUGGCGGCGUGCCUAAUACAUGCAAGUAGAACGCUGAAGGAGGAGCUUGCUUCUCCGGAUGAGUUGCGAACGGGUGAGUAACGCGUAGGUAACCUGCCUGGUAGCGGGGGAUAACUAUUGGAAACGAUAGCUAAUACCGCAUAAGAGUAGAUGUCGCAUGACAUUUGCUUAAAAGGUGCAACUGCACCACUACCAGAUGGACCUGCGUUGUAUUAGCUAGUUGGUGAGGUAACGGCUCACCAAGGCAACGAUACAUAGCCGACCUGAGAGGGUGAUCGGCCACACUGGGACUGGGACAACGCCCAGAAUCCUUAGGGAGGCAGCAGGAGGGAAUCUUCGGCAAAUGACGGAAGUCUUAACGAGCAACGCCGCGUGAGUGAAGAAGGGUUUCGGAUCGUAAAGCUCUGUUUUAAGAGAAGAACGAGUGUGAGAGUGGAAAGUUCACACUGUGACGGUAUCUUACCAGAAAGGGACGGCUAACUACGUG